CCUACGGGUGGCAGCAGUGAGGAAUAUUGCUCAAUGGGCGCGAGCCUGAACCAGCAAAGUCGCGUGAGGGAAGACGGUCCUCUGGAUUGUAAACCUCUUUUGUCGGGGCGAAAAAGACACCACGCGUGGCGUUCCGAGAGUACCCGAAGAAAAAGCAUCGGCUAACUCCGUGCCAGCGGCCGCGGUAAUACGGAGGAGGCGAGCGUUAUCCGGAUUUAUUGGGCUUAAAGGGUGCGCAGGCGGAAGAGCAAGUCAGCGGUAAAAGUGAGAGGCUCAACCUCUUCGAGCGGUUGAAACUGGUUAUCUUGAGUGAGCGAGAAGUAUGCGGAAUGCGUGGUGUAGCGGUGAAAUGCAUAGAUAUGACGCAGAACGCCGAUUGCGAAGGCAGCAUACCGGCGCUCAACUGACGCUCAUGCACGAAAGUGUGGGUAUCGAACAGGAUUAGAUACCCGGGUAGUC
Molecule: ribosomal RNA, 459 nt
Filed under: uncultured bacterium
Lineage: Bacteria
Description: partial 16S ribosomal RNA
Rfam family: Bacterial small subunit ribosomal RNA
Source: RNAcentral